GCAACAGUGUUGAGAAUGUUAUUUCCAUUCAAUGUGAUGUUGUCGACUGAUGCGGCAAGUGUCUGAAUCUGCUUUUGUGUUGGAUUGAAAGUGAUUUUUGUGCUUUGCAUGCUUAUGCUAUGUGUGCAUGCAUGUCUUAACACUGGUCAUGUUCUCCAAAGUAUCUGAUUAUGGUAUGAACGUUUUAGUUGAAUAUCAUCAUUUGAACCGGAAGUCCAGGAAAGUCUGCAGCAUCUGAAUCUGCUUUUGUUUUAGAAAGAGCUCUAGCUGAGAAGGCAGCCCAGGAGGCAAAACGGGCAGCUGCUACAGAUUCUUCCAGCAGUACUUCACAGAGAUAUUCAAAUUCCACAAAUCAAGCUUCCUACUCUAAUGGAAAGCAUCAAGGAGCUGAGGUUGAAGAUGUCAAGCAAGGUGGGAGAGGAAUCAACGGACAGUUGAACGUGCGGUAUGUGCCUUGUUCAAAACCUACAUGUCUGGGAAUGCACUUGACAGGUCUGCAACCUGUUUAUAUGAUAUUCUGUGUUAUGAGUAAUAGAGAUAAAAUAUUUUGCUGUAGGUGAUGUGGUUCUGUUUAAUUUGGGAGACAAGCUUCUUGAAUGGAAUUACUGUGAGCUUACAUUUUUUGUUUUCAUUUCAAAUUUCAGGCAAAAGCUCUUGCAGAGAAAAAUAUGCGUGACAUUCUUGCAUUUCUGUUUGUCUGACCCAAAUCAAAUCACGAUCUACUAGGUUAUUAUUAUCAUCUUAAAAGCAAUGUUGUAAGACCCAGACAGACCCUAACCUAUUUUUGUACGCAGUUUUACAAUGUCUGUACUGGAAACCAGAGAAGGGACUUCAAUUCCAUUUCUUAACUGUAGCCAAAUUGGCAUCUAACGUCUGAGACUUCAGUCCCAUUUCUUAACUGUAGCCGAAUUGGCAUGUCCUAGUUUCUUGUGGCAUAAAUCAAGUCAUCUUCCUCUUUUUUCUAGGUC
This is a long non-coding RNA of Magnolia sinica, 968 nucleotides long. RefSeq lists it as uncharacterized. The transcript is spliced from 2 exons. The record is from RefSeq and is a predicted model, not a curated record. NCBI's taxonomy places the organism in Eukaryota, Viridiplantae, Streptophyta, Magnoliopsida, Magnoliales, Magnoliaceae.